UUUUGUGUAAACAGCAAAACCUUUUUUUCUUGAAUGUUCUAUUUAAAUAAUUCAUAAUAAAUGACCAUGAUCUCUUUCAGAAUCUGUGAUGAUAUCUUGUUGAUUUCAUCUAGCUGGUGCUAUGGGGGAAGGGAUGGUGGCCUCACCUCAUAACCCGGAUUAACAAUUUCUUUGUUUUCAGAAACCAAUUAUGACCAAUUAUGUAAUGAUGUUUUCAUUAAUCGUGUUUUCAUUUCUGUGUUAACUCAACUCUGAGCAGAGAUGUCAAAAGUAAAAGUACUUUUGUGGUGUAAUUACAACACUUGCACAUGGUAUGCCUGUCUAUUACAUAGCUGUUACAGCAUUUACUCCAUUGUAACUAAUGGGAUAGAUGGACUGUACUAAAAAACACUGAAAACCUGACAAGGACCCACCAUAAACUUGAUCCAACCAGUGCACAGUUAGCUGAUCGCCAGACAAGUACACAAAUCUACUGUGUUUACUCAGAUAAGUUAUUUGUGUAGGAAGGAAACUUUGUGUCUUUUUUUACUUUUACUUUUGACACCUCUGACUCUGAGUCACUUAAUUAGUGCAGUAUGAAUGUUGUUUACCUCUUUCAGGUCAAGUCUGCCUGGAGAUACAGAGCCACAAGGCCGCAGGAGAAGAUACCAGGCGAAAUGAAAGAUGUGAAUACGUGUCGAAGAUGCAGAAUUCGGGACAUCAGAAAAACAGCUUGACGUGUUGCUGCACUUCCUUUCACCUGUAACCAAACUGUCAGUAAGUGGUUGAUGCAUGGUGUCACUAACUUGAUAUAUUUGAUUCUAGACACAUCUGGAGGGUGGACUGCAUGAUUAACAUUUGUACACACAUACAAUCUCAAUGUGGUUUUCUAUAGCAGGAUAUGGAUGCUCCAUUUCAAAGUUGUGUGUUGCCGGUGGAGUGGAUUGUGCUCUUGUGUGCAGGUGUGUGUUGGUGUUCCAAGCAGACGAGCAAGGCAUGAGCAUGAGGGCCAUGGGCUAGACGUAAGGAAGCAGAUGGGCAAGUCAAAGGCCAUGAACAAUGGAGACCGUGGGCGAAGAGUAGGUGGCAAGAUUAUCGGAGUGACCCUAUCAAGGCUCAAGAUUAUUCAAGCAACCCAACCUGCUUAUUUUGAGAUUUCAUGUGCUAAGAUUAAUAAAUCAUCAUUAUUAUACAAACAGUG
Long non-coding RNA from Engraulis encrasicolus (European anchovy), 1180 nucleotides. RefSeq lists it as uncharacterized. The transcript is spliced from 2 exons. The record is from RefSeq and is a predicted model, not a curated record. Lineage: Eukaryota; Metazoa; Chordata; Actinopteri; Clupeiformes; Engraulidae.